This 245-nucleotide ribosomal RNA is filed under the name uncultured bacterium. RNAcentral describes it as "partial 16S ribosomal RNA". It matches the Rfam family "Bacterial small subunit ribosomal RNA", at positions 359 to 604 of the family's 1533-position model. The record is from RNAcentral.
CUACAUUUCACAACACACUUAAAUCUCCAGCCAAGUAGCGUGCAGGAUGACGGCCCUAUGGGUUGUAAACUGCUUUUGUAUGGGGAUAAAGUUAGGGACGUGUCCCUAUUUGCAGGUACCAUACGAAUAAGGACCGGCUAAUUCCGUGCCAGCAGCCGCGGUAAUACGGAAGGUCCAGGCGUUAUCCGGAUUUAUUGGGUUUAAAGGGAGCGUAGGCUGGAGAUUAAGUGUGUUGUGAAAUGUAG